RNAcentral lists this ribosomal RNA (253 nucleotides) under uncultured bacterium. RNAcentral's name for it is "partial 16S ribosomal RNA". It matches the Rfam family "Bacterial small subunit ribosomal RNA", at positions 524 to 776 of the family's 1533-position model. The record is from RNAcentral.
UACGUAGGGUGCAAGCGUUGUCCGGAAUCAUUGGGCGUAAAGAGCGUGUAGGCGGCUCGAUUAGUCCGCUGUAAAAGUCCAGGGCUCAACCCUGGGAUGCCGGUGGAAACUGUCGGGCUAGAGUCCGGGAGAGGCGAGUGGAAUUCCUGGUGUAGCGGUGAAAUGCGCAGAUAUCAGGAGGAACACCGGCGGUGUAGACGGCUUUCUGGACCGUAGCUGACGCUGAGACACGAAAGCGUGGGUAGCAAACAGG